UGACCAUUUAAGGCUAGUACUCAGAUCGAAAAAGAACUUUCCUAGCAAAAUGUGCAAUAUAUUAUGCUAGCAGCAGAGUGCGACCAGAGGUGAAAACCGCAUUCCGUACGGUUACACUUCUCAGGCAGCUGUGUUAUUUUGUUUACCUUUUUGAAAAUGUGUGAAAAUUGAAUAAAAGACUGGCGGCUCUUGCAUGAUAGGAGGAGGAGGACAAUCAACGAAAUCAACAUAUCUGCAGGGAAGAAACCAGGACGGUCGUUGUCUAUACAUUUGAGUAUUAUAAAUCAUAUAAAUAUGUGUUCAUUUAUGGAAACCUGUUGCCCGUUGCAAAGUUGUAAAACGGCGCCAUCGACCCUUGGCACGACCCUGUGAAGUAGUACUUUGUUCGAAAGGAAAACAACUUAAAAUAUUUUGUUAACAGCCCUGCCGGGUCUGUCUUGGCAACAUGAAGAUACACUCAAAUAAGUUAAACAAACUAAAAAUGCA
Molecule: long non-coding RNA, 486 nt
Filed under: Drosophila guanche
Lineage: Eukaryota; Metazoa; Arthropoda; Insecta; Diptera; Drosophilidae
Source: RNAcentral